GUGACCUUCCCCAGCUCGUCAGUGAAUGGCCUGCUUGUUUUCUUCCCGAGGGAGGGGGGCUGCCUUGGGGAUGUGAAAAGUACCGUUAUGUAAGGGAGGGAUUUUUCCAUGCUUCUGGGAUGCCAAAAGAAGCGCUGUGAGAGGGCGUGGGUGAAAGAAAGAAGAAAAAAGAAAAAAGGAGAAAAUGCUUGCAGGAAUAAAGCAGAGGUCUGCCCUACCGCAGCUCUGGCGGAGCUCUGCAUGGCAGAGAGAAAAAGCUUUUCAUUUUUCGGAUGCAGCCUUUUAAAUCAGAAAGGAGGAGGAGGUACGGCUUCAGCCUGCCCUGCCUUCCAGCACCAGUACCCCGCACUGUGUGUCAGACGGCAGGGAAGAACAAAGGGCUGGUGGUCACAUCCUGGUUGGCACAGAGCACGGGGAGGGGUCGGCGAGGGCCGUGCUGGACCGCUGCGUGGCUUUGCUGUAUGUGAUGGGAAGGAUCCUCCCAGCUGCAAUUGCUCCGUCUGAAGAACGAAGUGCGGCCCUUCCGAAGCUUCUCGUCUUUGUCCCGCUGCAGCUCUGGAGUUUCAGCACAAGCCACACCAACAGGCUCCCAGCACGGCCGUGGGCUCUAAUUGCUCCUGCCCGGCGGCUCCAUUUAAUCUGAGCCUGCAGCUGGCUCGCAGGUGGCUUUGUCUCCAGCUUUGUUGCCUUUGGGGGUUCCUGCAUUUGUUCCUCUCCUCACUAUCCAUUGGUGCUGUUGCUUUCAGCUAGUAAUUGUUGAAGGGCUGCGGAUGAGAGCCUCUCUGGAAGAUCUGUGCUAACUCAUAGAAUCAUGGAAUAUCCUGAGCUGGAAGGGUCCCACGAGGAUCACUGACGCCCACCCCUGGCUCCACACAGCAGCACCCAAUCCCCCUUUCCCAAGCAUAUUCCUUUUACAAAACUAGUGCCCUUGUGAGCAUAGGUCUGACUUCCACUCGUGCUUGAGAGGGUAGAAAUGUGACAGGGCUGCCUUGGUGCUGCAUAAUGCAGGAUCUGAGCAAGCCAUCAGUACCUGCAGGGAUCCUGCUGGCAUCUCUGGCUGUUCUCCUGUCAACGGCAAGGGCAGCGCAGGUAGCAGUAUCUACUGGGGCUUUGAGGUAUUGCAUUUGUUUUAAAACAUUAAUUUCCUUUUCUGUUUGCUGGCCGUAGACUUUGAGGGAUAAAAG
RNAcentral lists this long non-coding RNA (1184 nucleotides) under Gallus gallus (chicken). RNAcentral's name for it is "lncRNA (ENSGALG00010019637.1)". The record is from RNAcentral. Lineage: Eukaryota; Metazoa; Chordata; Aves; Galliformes; Phasianidae.